This 253-nucleotide ribosomal RNA is filed under the name uncultured bacterium. RNAcentral's name for it is "partial 16S ribosomal RNA". It matches the Rfam family "Bacterial small subunit ribosomal RNA", at positions 524 to 776 of the family's 1533-position model. The record is from RNAcentral.
UACGUAGGGUGCGAGCGUUAAUCGGAAUUACUGGGCGUAAAGCGUGCGCAGGCGGUUUUGUAAGCCAGAUGUGAAAGCCCCGGGCUUAACCUGGGAAUGGCAUUUGGGACUGCAAGGCUUGAGUGCGGCAGAGGAGACUGGAAUUCCUGGUGUAGCAGUGAAAUGCGUAGAUAUCAGGAGGAACACCCGUGGCGAAGGCGGCUUUCUAGGAUAUACCUGACACUGAGAAGCGACAGCUAGGGGAGCAAACAGG